UGCAGAUAUAGUUUAACAAAAACAUUAGAUUGUGAUUCUAAAAAUAGAGGUUAAACUCCCCUUAUCCGCC
RNAcentral lists this transfer RNA (70 nucleotides) under Megacataetyx niki. RNAcentral describes it as "Cataetyx niki tRNA-His". It matches the Rfam family "tRNA". Rfam says of the family: Transfer RNA (tRNA) molecules are approximately 80 nucleotides in length. Their secondary structure includes four short double-helical elements and three loops (D, anti-codon, and T loops). The record is from RNAcentral. Lineage: Eukaryota; Metazoa; Chordata; Actinopteri; Ophidiiformes; Bythitidae.